RNAcentral lists this long non-coding RNA (402 nucleotides) under Ailuropoda melanoleuca (giant panda). Its description in RNAcentral is "lncRNA (ENSAMEG00000027417.1)". Lineage: Eukaryota; Metazoa; Chordata; Mammalia; Carnivora; Ursidae. The record is from RNAcentral.
UUGCUGCCAGGCAGAGGUGUGUUAUGUGUGGAUAUUAUUUUGCCUUCUUCUCCCUUCAAUUUCAGACCGAAACCAACCACUUCAUCCCCUCAGCUAGAGGGCUGCUCUUCUCCACGUGCAUACCGUGACUUAAUUUGGGACUUUUCCUUAGGGAUUUUAACAGCUAAUGUUUCUCGAAUACUCAGAUGCCAGUCACUCUUCAGGUGCUUCGUGAGAACUUCCACAGCAUCUCUGUGUGGAAUACCAGCUGUGUCUACAAUUGUUGUGGACACGUUGUGUUACAGAUGCUUUCCAAACGGUAAGGGUCUUCCUUUUGGACCUUUGACCUGUUCCUGACUACCCACCAUUUCUCUGUGUGUGUGACACUUGUGAGGGAAUAGUUAUUUUAGAUAUUAACCAAGG